This 1099-nucleotide small RNA is filed under the name Pan troglodytes (chimpanzee). Its description in RNAcentral is "processed transcript". The record is from RNAcentral. Lineage: Eukaryota; Metazoa; Chordata; Mammalia; Primates; Hominidae.
GGGGCUCCGCGCUCGUCCGGCCGGCCCCGGCCUCGCCGCCCCGCGCAGUACCCACCCGGCCCCGCCGACCCGCCUCUACUGCCGGCUCCGCGCCCUUCCCCGGGGGCUGGAUGAUGGGCUGUUUCGCCCUGCAAACGGUGGACACCGAGCUGACGGCGGACUCGGUGGAGUGGUGCCCGCUGCAAGGCUGCAGGCACCUGCUGGCGUGCGGGACCUACCAGCUGCGGCGGCCGGAGGACCGGCCUGCCGGCCCCCAGAAUAAGGUGUCACAUCCCGGUGGCUGGACAUGCCCUCUUGGGCUUGGCAGAUGCCAGUGGAUCCAUACAACUGCUCCGCCUGGUGGAAUCUGAGAAGAGCCACGUGCUGGAGCCAUUGUCCAGCCUUGCCCUGGAGGAGCAGUGUCUGGCUUUGUCCCUCGAUUGGUCCACUGGGAAAACUGGAAGGGCGGGGGACCAGCCCUUGAAGAUCAUCAGCAGUGACUCCACAGGGCAGCUCCACCUCCUGAUGGUGAAUGAGACGAGGCCCAGGCUGCAGAAAGUGGCCUCAUGGCAGGCACAUCAAUUCGAGGCCUGGAUUGCUGCUUUCAAUUACUGGCAUACAGAAAUUGUGUAUUCAGGGGGUGACGAUGGCCUUCUGAGGGGCUGGGACACCAGGGUACCCGGCAAAUUUCUCUUCACCAGCAAAAGGUAACUGCCCAAGGGCCAGCACUCGGUGCCCACACCAGCCCUCCCGUUCCCUGGGUCACCAGCCCACCCGUUCCCUGGGUCACCAGCCCUCCCGUUCCCUGGGUCAUCAGCCCUCCCGUUCCCUGGGUGAGUCUGUGUGCUGGACACUGGUACAGAAGCCGCCUCUGCUUGCAGACACACCAUGGGUGUGUGCAGCAUCCAGAGCAGCCCUCAUCGGGAGCACAUCCUGGCCACGGGAAGCUAUGAUGAACACAUCCUACUGUGGGACACACGAAACAUGAAGCAGCCGUUGGCAGACACGCCCGUGCAGGGUGGGGUAUGGAGAAUCAAGUGGCACCCUUUCCACCACCACCUGCUCCUGGCCGCCUGCAUGCACAGUGGCUUUAAGAUCCUCAACUGCCAAAAGGCAAUGG